GGGUGCGAUCAUACUAGGACUAAUACACCGGAUCCCAUCAGAACUCCGCAGUUGAGCGUGCUUGGGCGAGAGUAGUACUAGGAUGGCUGACCUCCUGAGAAGUCCUCGUGUUGCACCCC
Molecule: non-coding RNA, 119 nt
Organism: Gossypium hirsutum (cotton)
Lineage: Eukaryota; Viridiplantae; Streptophyta; Magnoliopsida; Malvales; Malvaceae
Source: Rfam